RNAcentral lists this long non-coding RNA (1469 nucleotides) under Daucus carota (carrot). RNAcentral's name for it is "long non-coding RNA (DCAR_LNC005346)". Lineage: Eukaryota; Viridiplantae; Streptophyta; Magnoliopsida; Apiales; Apiaceae. The record is from RNAcentral.
CAGACUGUCCCAACAUAAUCCGCUUUAUGAAACCUGUUCGGAUUCUUAGUUAUUAUUCAAAAUAGUCAUAUACUUAAUUUAUUGUGACAAUAUCAAAUGAAGUAAAUUCUUAUGCAUCAUCACUUAACAUGGCGCCUGAGGUUAAUGUGUAGAAUGCCACGAAGCGGAACAGUCGAAUUCAGGUGGUUGUCGAGCCCAAUGGGAGUGAUCAUGUCAGUUUUAUAGGGACUAGUUAUUCAGGUGAUGCUGCUGCUCCUCAGCUCUGUAUGCUCUUCGGCUUCUUCAUAAAGAGACGCACGCUCUUAACAUCCUCCCUAUUACUGCUAAUAAGGUGCACAUUUCCACUUUACUACAUGUUAUCAACAGUUUUUACUAGUCCUCUUUUACACCCUGCUCCCAAGUUUUUAUAAACGAGGAAAGCAAUUUAAGUAAUUUGCAUCCCUCUGUUUCCGCCCUCAAAAAACUAGGAUGCAGGGCGGUAGAGCAUGCACUGGAAUAGGUGUUGAUCAGCUAACAUGCCUUUAAACUGGUGACAGAUAUUCGGUUGGAGCCAAAGCUUGCAGAAUGGGAAGCUAAGACGUCUAGAUGCCAUGUAUUCGAAGAACCAAAAAGCUGUUUGUAGUAAUGGUAAGUUAUCAUUUAAUACGAAUAUAUUCUGUAACUUGAGGUUUUCUGAUACCUUGAAAACGCGUAGUACUCUAAAGAUUAUACAAAUGAAAGCAACAAUAACACCCAUAUUAACCAGCAAAUACACAAUGAGUAAUUGGAUAUUCUAAUAAUCGGAUAUUACUUGGAGAGUGAAUACACAUUUCCACAUGACUCCCCAUUAUUUAUCAUGGUUUCAUAAUAACCUCUAAGUUUAUUGUAUAUGUGAUGAAUCAAACAAUAAGAUAGCUGCUGCGUCAUUCACCAAUGUCGGAUUUACCCACCUCACUAGAACUAAACUUCUUGAUUGUUCUGUUUCACCCGUCAACUAGUUGCUUCCUGAAAGCACAAACAGCAGCCAAACAGACAAUUCAAAAUAUUCAGAACUACUUUAAAUACAAUAACACAAUUGAAGCAUUCUCAUAUAAUGUAACUGACCAUGACUGCUAUAAGGUUUUGUGUUGUGACCUGAUGUAAAACUUGACUUUCCUUUUCCUGGCUGAGUAUCCAAGCUGUGUGAACCAGGAUCUUGGCUAUAAGCAUCCUUAGCAAUGGUUUUCUCUGAUGAUUCGCUUUCUGCUUCGAAUUCUGGUUCUGGGUUGUUUGGUGCCUCAGCAAAUUGCUUUCUCUUUGAUCUGGCUCUCCUGUUCUGAAACCAAUUAUAUACAUUUGUUUCAGAAAUGGGACCAUGUUGUGAUAGCUCGGCAGUUAACUCUUUUAUCUUCUGCUUGCUAGGAGUUCCAAUGCCUUCCUCAAACACGCGCUCAAGUUUUUGAAGUUGCACUGGUGUUGGAGUCCAUCUGUGCCUUGUCGUGAUCUUGCUG